Molecule: ribosomal RNA, 330 nt
Filed under: uncultured bacterium
Lineage: Bacteria
Description: bacterial SSU rRNA
Rfam family: Bacterial small subunit ribosomal RNA
Source: RNAcentral
UCCGUAGGCGGUGUAGCAAGUCGAUAGUGAAAUCUCUGGGCUUAACUCAGAGGCUGCUAACGAAACUGCUAUGCUAGAGUGUGAGAGAGGCGAGUGGAAUUACGGGUGUAGCGGUGAAAUGCGUAGAUAUCCGUAGGAACAUCCGAGGCGAAGGCGGCUCGCUGGAUCACAACUGACGCUGAGGGACGAAAGCUAGGGGAGCAAACAAGAUUAGAUACCCUGGUAGUCCUAGCCCUAAACCAUCAGGACUUGGGGUUUGCCCUGUACGGGGCAAGUCCCGUAGCUAACGCGUUAAGUCCUGCGCCUGGGGAGUACGGUCGCAAGGCUGAA